AGUGAACGCUGGCGGUAGGCCUAACACAUGCAAGUCGAGCGACCGCACGGGAAGCUCUCUCCUUUGAGGUUGGCGGCGGACGGACGGGUAAGACGUGCAUCGCAUACUUCUUUUUCUUGGGGAAUAACGUGGGACAACUUCCAAUACUAGCUCAUAUAUCCAACGGGUGAAAUCAGGAGUGCUUGGGACUUUUGCCGAUAGUUUGAGCUGGUGCCGCAUUAGCUAGUUGGCUGGGUAAGGGCCCACCAAGGCGACGAUCCGUAGCCGGUCUGAGAGGAUGAUCAGCCACACUGGAACUGAGACACGGUCCAGACUCCUACGGGAGGCAGCAGUGGGGAAUAUUGGGCAAUGGGCGCAAGCCUGAUCCAGCCAUACCGCGUGGGUGAAGAAGGCCUUCGGGUUGUAAAGCCCUUUUGUUGGGAAAGAAAAGAAGCAGGUUAAUACCCCGCUGUUCUGACGGUACCCAAAGAAUAAGCACCGGCUAACUUCGUG
This 492-nucleotide ribosomal RNA is filed under the name uncultured bacterium. Its description in RNAcentral is "partial 16S ribosomal RNA". It matches the Rfam family "Bacterial small subunit ribosomal RNA", at positions 29 to 507 of the family's 1533-position model. The record is from RNAcentral.